This 564-nucleotide ribosomal RNA is filed under the name Streptomyces sp. 384C07. RNAcentral's name for it is "bacterial SSU rRNA". It matches the Rfam family "Bacterial small subunit ribosomal RNA", at positions 93 to 671 of the family's 1533-position model. RNAcentral also lists the same sequence under 1 other name. The record is from RNAcentral. Lineage: Bacteria; Bacillati; Actinomycetota; Actinomycetes; Kitasatosporales; Streptomycetaceae.
CAGUGGCGAACGGGUGAGUAACACGUGGGCAAUCUGCCCUGCACUCUGGGACAAGCCUUGGAAACGAGGUCUAAUACCGGAUAUUACCCCUGGGGGCAUCCCUGGGGGUGGAAAGCUCCGGCGGUGCAGGAUGAGCCCGCGGCCUAUCAGCUUGUUGGUGGGGUGAUGGCCUACCAAGGCGACGACGGGUAGCCGGCCUGAGAGGGCGACCGGCCACACUGGGACUGAGACACGGCCCAGACUCCUACGGGAGGCAGCAGUGGGGAAUAUUGCACAAUGGGCGCAAGCCUGAUGCAGCGACGCCGCGUGAGGGAUGAAGGCCUUCGGGUUGUAAACCUCUUUCAGCAGGGAAGAAGCGCAAGUGACGGUACCUGCAGAAGAAGCACCGGCUAACUACGUGCCAGCAGCCGCGGUAAUACGUAGGGUGCGAGCGUUGUCCGGAAUUAUUGGGCGUAAAGAGCUCGUAGGCGGCUUGUCACGUCGGAUGUGAAAGCCCGGGGCUUAACCCCGGGUCUGCAUUCGAUACGGGCAGGCUAGAGUGUGGUAGGGGAGAUCGGAAUUCCU